CAUCGCCGCGGGAAUACGGAGGGUGCAAGCGUUAAUCGGAAUUACUGGGCGUAAAGCGCACGCAGGCGGUCUGGCAAGUCAGAUGUGAAAUCCCCGGGCUUAACCUGGGAACUGCAUUUGAAACUGUCAGGCUGGAGUCUUGUAGAGGGGGGUGGAAUUCCAGGUGUAGCGGUGAAAUGCGUAGAGAUCUGGAGGAAUACCGGUGGCGAAGGCGGCCCCCUGGACAAAGACUGACGCUCAGGUGCGAAAGCGUGGGGAGCAAACAGGAUUAGAUACCCCGGUAGUCCCUGUCUCUUAUACC
Molecule: ribosomal RNA, 301 nt
Filed under: uncultured bacterium
Lineage: Bacteria
Description: partial 16S ribosomal RNA
Rfam family: Bacterial small subunit ribosomal RNA
Source: RNAcentral